GAUGAAGAACGCAGCGAAAUGCGAUAAGUAGUGUGAAUUGCAGAAUUCAGUGAAUCAUAGAAUCUUUGAACGCACAUUGCGCCCUUUGGUAUUCCAAAGGGCAUGCCUGUUCGAGCGUCAUUUGUACCCUCAAGCUUUGCUUGGUGUUGGGCGUCUUGUCUCUAGCUUUGCUGGAGACUCGCCUUAAAGUAAUUGGCAGCCGGCCUACUGGUUUCGGAGCGCAGCACAAGUCGCACUCUCUAUCAGCAAAGGUCUAGCAUCCAUUAAGCCUUUUUUUCAACUUUUGACCUCGGAUCAGGUAGGGAUACCCGCUGAACUUAAGCAUAUCAAUAAGCGGAGGA
This 341-nucleotide unclassified non-coding RNA is filed under the name soil metagenome. RNAcentral's name for it is "partial contains 5.8S ribosomal RNA, internal transcribed spacer 2, and large subunit ribosomal RNA". The stretch from base 1 to 120 matches the Rfam family "5.8S ribosomal RNA", at positions 35 to 154 of the family's 154-position model. The record is from RNAcentral.